CAGACCGGCGCGGGGCGCUGCGGCCCAACUCCUUAGUAGGACGACGUGACUCGAGGGGCCGGAGGACGGAGGGCUCCUCCUCAUCCCUGGAGGUUCCAGGGAUCUGGCAGAGAAAGAAGCCCAGUCUCACAGCAAUGACUCCUGAACAUCCUUUGCAAACACUAUUUAGGACAGAUGGACUGAAGUAGGCCCUGGGGAGAGUUGGGGGCAUUUCCGGAGGCCAGACCAAAGGUGAUCUCCAGGAGAUUUGGAUGUUAGUGCAGGAUAGCUCAGAGCCAAGUGGCAGAUAAGUCUUUGGGAGCCAGAAGGGCUCUUUCUUCUCUAAGGAACAAGUGUAGACCUAUAGGGGCAAGAACCUGUGGCAACCCUGGGAGAGGUCUGCAGAUUCAGGAGGGAACAUCCCAAAACUCAGCAGAGGAGGAGAGGGAGCUUUUGUUGGUCACCUGGAACCACUACCAAUCCAUGUUCAUGUCAAAUUAAAUGAUCACUUUGAA
Molecule: long non-coding RNA, 494 nt
Filed under: Homo sapiens (human)
Lineage: Eukaryota; Metazoa; Chordata; Mammalia; Primates; Hominidae
Description: long intergenic non-protein coding RNA 2918
Source: RNAcentral